AUUAAACGCUGGCGGCAUGCCUUACACAUGCAAGUCGAACGGCAGCACGGGGGCAACCCUGGUGGCGAGUGGCGGACGGGUGAGUAAAGCAUCGGAACGUAUCCUGGAGUGGGGGAUAACGUAGCGAAAGUUACGCUAAUACCGCAUAUUCUGUGAGCAGGAAAGCAGGGGAUCGCAAGACCUUGCGCUCUGGGAGCGGCCGAUGUCGGAUUAGCUAGUUGGUGGGGUAAAGGCCUACCAAGGCGACGAUCCGUAGCGGGUCUGAGAGGAUGAUCCGCCACACUGGGACUGAGACACGGCCCAGACUCCUACGGGUGGCAGCAGUUUCGAAUCAUUCACAAUGGGCGAAAGCCUGAUGGUGCGACGCCGCGUGAGGGAUGAAGGUCUUCGGAUUGUAAACCUCUGUCACUGGGGAGAAAACGCUUUGAGUUAAUAGUUCAAAGCCUGAUUUAACCCGGAGAGGAAGCAGUGGCUAACUCUGUGCCAGCAGCCGCGGUAAUC
RNAcentral lists this ribosomal RNA (501 nucleotides) under uncultured bacterium. Its description in RNAcentral is "bacterial SSU rRNA". It matches the Rfam family "Bacterial small subunit ribosomal RNA", at positions 30 to 525 of the family's 1533-position model. The record is from RNAcentral.